This 555-nucleotide ribosomal RNA is filed under the name uncultured bacterium. RNAcentral's name for it is "partial 16S ribosomal RNA". It matches the Rfam family "Bacterial small subunit ribosomal RNA", at positions 355 to 902 of the family's 1533-position model. The record is from RNAcentral.
UGGGGAAUUUUGGACAAUGGGGGGAAACCCUGAUCCAGCCAUCCCGCGUGUGCGAUGAAGGCCUUCGGGUUGUAAAGCACUUUUGGCAGGAAAGAAACGUCGCGGGUUAAUACCCCGCGGAACUGACGGUACCUGCAGAAUAAGCACCGGCUAACUACGUGCCAGCAGCCGCGGUAAUACGUAGGGUGCAAGCGUUAAUCGGAAUUACUGGGCGUAAAGCGUGCGCAGGCGGUUCGGAAAGAAAGAUGUGAAAUCCCAGAGCUUAACUUUGGAACUGCAUUUUUAACUACCGGGCUAGAGUGUGUCAGAGGGAGGUGGAAUUCCGCGUGUAGCAGUGAAAUGCGUAGAUAUGCGGAGGAACACCGAUGGCGAAGGCAGCCUCCUGGGAUAACACUGACGCUCAUGCACGAAAGCGUGGGGAGCAAACAGGAUUAGAUACCCUGGUAGUCCACGCCCUAAACGAUGUCAACUAGCUGUUGGGGUCUUCGGACCUUGGUAGCGCAGCUAACGCGUGAAGUUGACCGCCUGGGGAGUACGGUCGCAAGAUUAAAACUC